UACGGGGGGUGCGAGCGUUGUCCGGAAUCACUGGGCGUAAAGGGCGCGUAGGUGGUUUGAUAAGGGUGUGGUGAAAGUCCGGGGCUCAACCCCGGAUCUGCCGUGCCGACUGUCAAACUCGAGGACUGUAGAGGCAGACGGAAUUCCGGGUGUAGCGGUGGAAUGCGUAGAGAUCCGGAGGAAGACCGGUGGCGAAGGCGGUCUGCUGGGCGAGUUUCUGACACUGAGGCGCGACAGCGUGGGGAGCAAACAGGG
This 255-nucleotide ribosomal RNA is filed under the name uncultured bacterium. Its description in RNAcentral is "partial 16S ribosomal RNA". It matches the Rfam family "Bacterial small subunit ribosomal RNA", at positions 524 to 777 of the family's 1533-position model. The record is from RNAcentral.